This 429-nucleotide ribosomal RNA is filed under the name Chloroflexota bacterium. RNAcentral describes it as "Chloroflexi bacterium partial 16S ribosomal RNA". It matches the Rfam family "Bacterial small subunit ribosomal RNA", at positions 355 to 776 of the family's 1533-position model. The record is from RNAcentral. Lineage: Bacteria; Bacillati; Chloroflexota.
UGGGGAAUAUUGCACAAUGGGCGCAAGCCUGAUGCAGCCAUGCCGCGUGUAUGAAGAAGGCCUUCGGGUUGUAAAGUACUUUCAGCGGGGAGGAAGGGAGUAAAGUUAAUACCUUUGCUCAUUGACGUUACCCGCAGAAGAAGCACCGGCUAACUCCGUGCCAGCAGCCGCGGUAAUACGGAGGGUGCAAGCGUUAAUCGGAAUUACUGGGCGUAAAGCGCACGCAGGCGGUUUGUUAAGUCAGAUGUGAAAUCCUCGGGCUCAACCUGGGAACUGCAUCUGAUACUGGCAAGCUUGAGUCUCGUAGAGGGGGGUAGAAUUCCAGGUGUAGCGGUGAAAUGCGUAGAGAUCUGGAGGAAUACCGGUGGCGAAGGCGGCCCCCUGGACAAAGACUGACGCUCAGGUGCGAAAGCGUGAGGAGCAAACAGG